This is a long non-coding RNA of Cynoglossus semilaevis (tongue sole), 1000 nucleotides long. RefSeq lists it as uncharacterized. NCBI's taxonomy places the organism in Eukaryota, Metazoa, Chordata, Actinopteri, Pleuronectiformes, Cynoglossidae. The record is from RefSeq and is a predicted model, not a curated record. The transcript has 4 exons.
UCUGUCUCUGUGACAGCUUUCCUCCGUAACGUUUCAACCUACGUUAAUUCCGUCGGUCGGUUUAUUGAUUCUGCGCCAAUUUCCGGUGAGUUUCUGACGCAACCCGUUAAGUAUUUCUAGCCAGCUAAUAAACGCACGAGCCAACACGUGACGUCAAACAACGAAUAUUGUGUGACGCACGAGGUAAAUACUCGAGUGCAGCUCACCAAACAAUUGUUUAGUUCCUUCAGCAUGUGAGGGGACCAUGCCAGACUGAGCACAUCAUCAGAACCUGCCCUUGGACUCUGACCCCUGAGGACCACUGCUACUUCUCCUGCUACACAUCGUCAGGCUGCUGAGACGACAGCCAGUGUAAGGGGUCAGAUGAUGAAGUCCUUCCAUCUUUUGGUCCACCUCUCACACCAGCCUUUGUGUGUCUUCAUCAGAGGGUCUGCCAUGAGACCACCAACAGGUCAAAACAUCUCUGCAGAACAGGCGACUUUGCGCAUGAACACGCGCAUCCUUUGCAUCAUGGAGACGGGCGGCUGUAAGGCGUUGCAGGAGCGGGACACGCAGUCAGAAUACUGAUGAGAUGCGGUGCAGUGUCACACACUGAGACACCGCAUUGAAGAAAAAACGACGUCUCUGCUCCAGUUGGUCGACGGUCAUCCUCCUUCACGUCACUCUGGCCAUACAGAGGUACAGUGCCGCCUUGUAAUGAAAUCAUCUCUGCCUCUUUUAUCUCCAGUGUUUUAUUUUCAAAUGUAUGAAUUCAGGUGACCCUACAAAACUCCCACAGCUGCCAUGACUAUGAAUUAUUAUCACAGUUUUUUUCUAUAUCUGAGAGUGUGAAUCCACAUCAAAUACGAAGCCACUGUGCGUGACAGUUGGAGCCCCAGCCACUACACUGAAUGUAUGAUAUCUGAUUCCAAUACAUUAUUCAAGACUUGGCUCUAUACAUAUUCACCAUUCUGUAGUCAAUCGAGCAGCGAGGCCUGCACAGUUGCAGGGACGUUGCCGU